GACGAACGCUGGCGGCGUGCCUAAUACAUGCAAGUCGAACGAACCGCGACUGAGUGCUUGCACUUGGUCAAGGUGAGUGGCGAACGGGUGAGUAACACGUGGGUAACCUACCUCAUAGUGGGGGAUAACAGUCGGAAACGACUGCUAAUACCGCAUAGGACAUGGAAUCACAUGAUUCUGUGAGGAAAGGUGGCGCAAGCUAUCGCUAAGAGAUGGACCCGCGGUGCAUUAGCUAGUUGGUAGGGUAAGGGCCUACCAAGGCGAGGAUGCAUAGCCGACCUGAGAGGGUGAUCGGCCACAUUGGGACUGAGACACGGCCCAAACUACUACGGGAGGCAGCAGUAGGGAAUCUUCCGCAAUGGACGCAAGUCUGACGGAGCAACGCCGAGUGAGUGAAGAAGGUCUUCGGAUCGUAAAGCUCUGUUGUUAGAGAAGAACAGCGCAUAGAGUAACUGUUAUGCGUGUGACGGUAUCUAACCAGAAAGCAACGGCUAACUACGUG
RNAcentral lists this ribosomal RNA (502 nucleotides) under uncultured bacterium. RNAcentral's name for it is "partial 16S ribosomal RNA". It matches the Rfam family "Bacterial small subunit ribosomal RNA", at positions 28 to 507 of the family's 1533-position model. The record is from RNAcentral.